GGCGUGGCUCAACUGAUUAGAGCAUCCCGAUCUAUGAUCGGGAAGGUUUCAGGUUUGAAUCCUGACGCGGUCA
This 73-nucleotide transfer RNA is filed under the name Chitinophaga agrisoli. Its description in RNAcentral is "Chitinophaga sp. BN140078 tRNA-Ile". It matches the Rfam family "tRNA". From Rfam's summary of the family: Transfer RNA (tRNA) molecules are approximately 80 nucleotides in length. Their secondary structure includes four short double-helical elements and three loops (D, anti-codon, and T loops). Lineage: Bacteria; Pseudomonadati; Bacteroidota; Chitinophagia; Chitinophagales; Chitinophagaceae. The record is from RNAcentral.